Molecule: non-coding RNA, 1948 nt
Organism: Zootermopsis nevadensis
Lineage: Eukaryota; Metazoa; Arthropoda; Insecta; Blattodea; Termopsidae
Source: RefSeq, a predicted model, not a curated record
AAUCAGGAGAGACAAGUGUGAAAAAUGGCCGCUGAAUUUUUCUUCUAAGGUUCGUUUACGUUCUGUAUAUCUCCGAAGGAAGUUGUACUAUGGGUUUUUAUCACCUCGGUCGGGUUUGAACACGCGAACCUUGGGUCCAGUGGUAAGCACAUUAACCACUAGUCCACAGAGGGCAACGUGCAACAUCCAUACAUUCCUGCGUUUAUCAAAAAGAAUACAUAUUAAGACUACAGCUUUCUGGAUGCAAAAGCAUAUAACAUAACCUCAAAUAAUAAAAUCACAGAAUACAUUAAAAAUGCAUCUGCUCCAAUAAGAAUAAUAAAUGUAUCUACAAGAACCUGAAGAUGAUCCUAAGUGAUUGAAACAUGUUGCCCAGAGAUGGGUGGCUUCUGCGUUGUUGUGCCGUGCAGUCUGAUAGAAGUUUGCCAACGUUUUAGAGGUCCUUGCUGAGGCAAACUACACAGUGCUAUAACCCAGAAGACAGUCAUCUUCGGAGUCACCGAUGUGAAAACCUCAUAUCCCAGAAUUUAAUUCUACAUUGUUUUAAUAUAAUUAUAUUGUGUGUGACAGAAUCUUUGUUCCUUUAUGUGUUAUAACACCACAGUAGGAUGAAAAAAUGGAUAUCAGAAUUUUCAUUGACCUUUGUUUGAAUCUAUGCCACAAUAUUCAGACACCAAUGCAAAUAGAUUUGCAGUUUAAACAAGGGUUUUUCUGUGAUACUGAUAUUAAGUGAAAGAUAUUGUGGACAAUUAUAUCUGAUGGUUAUAUUUUUAUAUGAAACAUAUUUCAUUGCUUUCUAGCACCUGUUUUAAUUUACUAAUGAUCACAAAUUCUGUGCUCCUUUUGGUAUGUGACAUAACCUACUUUCAUACCAAUAAGAAGCUUCUGAUAUAUUCAAAGGAGCUCAGUGGUAAUGUGAGUUCACUUUCACUGACGGUAUGCUGCAUUUCUACAUGAUGAGGUCCCCUGCGCAUGACGCAGUAAAAGCUGUGUCCAAAUCUUGCUUCUCUCUAAUCAGAAAGCCUUUGUUACUUUUUAGUCUUGUUAUUGGUGUGAUGUAAUAUGUUCCACCCUUAGUUCUCCCCUAAUUUAUUGUCUGCAGAGUGAAGGUUGUUCCCUUCUAUAAAAAACUUAUGCUCUAUUUAUAACUACAAUGAAGCAAAAUCAUUAUUUAGAUUCUGAUGGUUCCUCAGCUGGUAAAGAAAUUCUCUGCAUUUUAUGAAAAUCUAAAGCUCAUUAACAUGCUUACAAAAUGCUGAUGCCAGUCCUUAUCCUGAACAAUCUGAUUCCAGCUCACAUCCCCUGUAUUGUUUACUUAAGAUCCAUUUUAAUAUUAUCAUCCCAUUUACACUCGGAUUUUCUGAGUCGUCUCUUUGGGCAUUCCGACAGCAUUUUGUAUUGUUUUCUUAUCAUAAAGAAUGCUACAUGCCUUGCCCAUCUUACUUUAUUUUAUAAUUCUAUUAAUAUUUGUAGAAGAGUACAAAUUAUGAAUCUCCUCAUUUUGAAAUUGUCUCCAUUCUCCUGUCACAUCAUGCCUCGUAGUUCUCAGGACCCCGUCCGUAAUCACCUCAGUCUGUGUCUUUCUAUAUUUCCCACUUUGAACUCGAUGUAAGAUAUUCGUGGGAAAAUAUAUCCUACUUAUAUAAUGUUAAUACCCACAUUUGAAAAUAUUAAAAUUAUCUCUCAUAGUUUAAGUGUAUGGUCCAAUGGAAAAGAACAUAAGAAAUUUCAUAUCGAAAACAUUCGUGUAUAUAUAAUAGCUGAAAUCUGCCUGUCUGCCUCGCCCUGUUUCUCUCAAACAGCAUAUAAUAAAUAAAUGGUUAAUACAGAAAAAUAUAUCUUUUAUUGGACCACGUGUAGGAAAAUUAUUGACCUCUAACCUCUUUCAAGAGUUAGGCAAAACUUUUCCAAAUCCUUUGUCAAAUAUAUAUAAAGUACCUUGUUUUUC